Molecule: ribosomal RNA, 498 nt
Filed under: uncultured bacterium
Lineage: Bacteria
Description: bacterial SSU rRNA
Rfam family: Bacterial small subunit ribosomal RNA
Source: RNAcentral
AGUAGCAAUACUUAGUGGCAGACGGGUGAAGUAACAUGUGGGUAUCUACCCUUUGGCCUGGAAUAACACGAGGAAACUUGUGCUAAUACCGGAUAAGACCACAUUUCGCAAGAAAUGCGGUAAAAGGAGUCUCAAUCUUCACUCGAGGAUGAGUUCGCGCAACAUUAGCUUGUUGGUGAGAUAAAAGCUCACCAAGGCUACGAUGUUUAGCCGGCCUGAGAGGGUGAACGGCCACACUGGAACUGAGACACGGUCCAGACUCCUACGGGAGGCAGCAGUGGGGAAUAUUGCGCAAUGGGCGAAAGCCUGACGCAGCAACGCCGUGUGAGCGAUGAAGGCUUUAGGGUCGUAAAGCUCUGUCAAUUGGGAAGAAUUAUGACGGUACCAGUAGAGGAAGCCCCGGCUAACUCCGUGCCAGCAGCCGCGGUAAUACGGAGGGGGCAAGCGUUGUUCGGAAUUAUUGGGCGUAAAGCGUAUGUAGGCGGCUAAGCAAGUCAG